GACGAACGCUGGCGGCGUGCUUAACACAUGCAAGUCGAACGGAAAGGCCCUGCUUUUGUGGGUUGCUCGAGUGGCGAACGGGUGAAUAACACGUGAGUAACCUGCCCUUGACUUUGGGAUAACUUCAGGAAACUGGGGCUAAUACCGGAUAGGAGCUCCUGCUGCAUGGUGGGGGUUGGAAAGUUUCGGCGGUUGGGGAUGGACUCGCGGCUUAUCAGCUUGUUGGUGGGGUAGUGGCUUACCAAGGCUUUGACGGGUAGCCGGCCUGAGAGGGUGACCGGCCACAUUGGGACUGAGAUACGGCCCAGACUCCUACGGGAGGCAGCAGUGGGGAAUAUUGCACAAUGGGCGGAAGCCUGAUGCAGCAACGCCGCGUGCGGGAUGACGGCCUUCGGGUUGUAAACCGCUUUCGCCUGUGACGAAGCGUGAGUGACGGUAAUGGGUAAAGAAGCACCGGCUAACUACGUG
Molecule: ribosomal RNA, 468 nt
Filed under: uncultured bacterium
Lineage: Bacteria
Description: partial 16S ribosomal RNA
Rfam family: Bacterial small subunit ribosomal RNA
Source: RNAcentral